GGAGAGGUGCUGGAGUGGACUAUCAGGCGCGCCUGGAGAGCGCGUAGGCAGAAAUGCCUCGUGGGUUCGAAUCCCACCCUCUCCGCCA
Molecule: transfer RNA, 88 nt
Filed under: Dehalococcoidia bacterium
Lineage: Bacteria; Bacillati; Chloroflexota; Dehalococcoidia
Also listed under: 1 other name
Description: tRNA-Ser
Rfam family: tRNA
About the family: Transfer RNA (tRNA) molecules are approximately 80 nucleotides in length. Their secondary structure includes four short double-helical elements and three loops (D, anti-codon, and T loops). Further hydrogen bonds mediate the characteristic L-shaped molecular structure. tRNAs have two regions of fundamental functional importance: the anti-codon, which is responsible for specific mRNA codon recognition, and the 3' end, to which the tRNAs corresponding amino acid is attached (by aminoacyl-tRNA synthetases). tRNAs cope with the degeneracy of the genetic code in two manners: having more than one tRNA (with a specific anti-codon) for a particular amino acid; and 'wobble' base-pairing, i.e. permitting non-standard base-pairing at the 3rd anti-codon position.
Source: RNAcentral